Molecule: RNase P RNA, 321 nt
Filed under: Candidatus Moraniibacteriota bacterium
Lineage: Bacteria; Candidatus Moraniibacteriota
Description: RNase P RNA component class A
Rfam family: Bacterial RNase P class A
About the family: Ribonuclease P (RNase P) is a ubiquitous endoribonuclease, found in archaea, bacteria and eukarya as well as chloroplasts and mitochondria. Its best characterised activity is the generation of mature 5'-ends of tRNAs by cleaving the 5'-leader elements of precursor-tRNAs.
Source: RNAcentral
AUGGCAAAUUAUCCAAUCGCUCCGGCUUCGCGCCGGAGAGGAAAGUCCGGACACUUUUUCGAAAAAGGUAGCGGGUAACGCCCGUCUGGAGUAAUCCACGAGGUGCGAGCAGAGACGCUUUUUUGUGAAAACAAAAAAGCGCCCCGCGAUUCCGCAAGGAAUUUUGCAGGGCGAGCUCUUUUGGUGACAAAAGAGGUGAAACGGCUAAAUCCUUACCUGAGUGCAAGGUCGUGNNGGAGUGCCGCAUGACCCCGACGGUAACGUCGGGGCUAGAUAAAUGAUUGGGCUAGACAGAAUCCGGCUUAUAGAUUUGCCCUGAUA